CCGCCCGCAGGGGCCGUAGGGUGGGCCGGCGCGUGCUUGUGCGCUUUCCCGCCUCAGCGAGAGCAGGAAAAGAGCCGGCGAGCGGCGGGAAGGAACGCAUGGGCCCGCUCAAGUGUCACUUGAGGAUUAUAAGCAACUGCUAGAUUCUGGUCUCCGCACACUGCUAUGGUCCCAUGAACAGCCAGUCCAACAGUGGGACUUCAAAGCACUGGUAAGAACUGAGAUGAAGUGAGGCAGGCCUGUGUUUGCCUUCCUCCCUCCGCUGCCCAGCUUUCUCAUUUUUCAGUGUGGGCUCGGCUGGCCUGUGUGGGUACGCCUGGCUGUGUGACUUGCUCCCACUGAAGCUCUGAUGUCCAACUCUCCAUUCAUGGGCUUGUUUAUAAUUAGGUUGUGUUCUUUGGGGAGUGUGGUUACUCCCUGUAGACCAAACUUAGCUGGCCGGUAGCUUUGACUAGAAAUGACUGCUUAGAGGAAGCAGAGAGAAAAGCUAGAAAUAAGGAGGAGGAGCCAGUGAUCAUGCAUAUGGACUUGGAGUAAGCAGAGCUGGAGGUUUUCAGGCUAGAGGAUAUACAGUCAUGAUUGUC
RNAcentral lists this long non-coding RNA (584 nucleotides) under Meleagris gallopavo (turkey). Its description in RNAcentral is "lncRNA (ENSMGAG00000019283.1)". The record is from RNAcentral. Lineage: Eukaryota; Metazoa; Chordata; Aves; Galliformes; Phasianidae.